This 241-nucleotide ribosomal RNA is filed under the name uncultured bacterium. RNAcentral describes it as "partial 16S ribosomal RNA". It matches the Rfam family "Bacterial small subunit ribosomal RNA", at positions 15 to 248 of the family's 1533-position model. The record is from RNAcentral.
GAUCCUGGCUCAGGAUGAACGCUAGCUACAGGCUUAACACGUGCAAGUCGAGGGGCAGCAUCAUCAAAGCUUGCUUUGAUGGAUGGCGGCCGGCGCACGGGUGAGUAACACGUAUCCAACCUGCCGACAACACUGGGAUAGCCUUUCGAAAGAAAGAUUAAUACCGGAUGGUAUAGUUUUCCCGCAUGGGAUAAUUAUUAAAGAAUUUCGGUUGUCGAUGGGGAUGCGUUCCAUUAGGCAG